AAACCAUGGUAUGGUCAGCUCCUUAGUAAAUCCUUGAAACAGUCCCAGCAAUCAUACAUAGUCUCAUUCUCCUGCUGAAUAAACCCUGCUAUAUCAUUCCUCAACUU
Non-coding RNA from Ricinus communis (castor bean), 107 nucleotides. The record is from Rfam. NCBI's taxonomy places the organism in Eukaryota, Viridiplantae, Streptophyta, Magnoliopsida, Malpighiales, Euphorbiaceae.